Molecule: ribosomal RNA, 1343 nt
Filed under: uncultured bacterium
Lineage: Bacteria
Description: 16S ribosomal RNA
Rfam family: Bacterial small subunit ribosomal RNA
Source: RNAcentral
GACGAACGCUGGCGGCGUGCUUAACACAUGCAAGUCGAACGGAAAGGCCCUGCUUUUGUGGGGUGCUCGAGUGGCGAACGGGUGAGUAACACGUGAGUAACCUGCCCUUGACUUUGGGAUAGCUUCAGGAAACUGGGGCUAAUACCGGAUAGGAGCUCCUGCUGCAUGGUGGGGGUUGGAAAGUUUCGGCGGUUGGGGAUGGACUCGCGGCUUAUCAGCUUGUUGGUGGGGUAGUGGCUUACCAAGGCUUUGACGGGUAGCCGGCCUGAGAGGGUGACCGGCCACAUUGGGACUGAGAUACGGCCCAGACUCCUACGGGAGGCAGCAGUGGGGAAUAUUGCACAAUGGGCGGAAGCCUGAUGCAGCAACGCCGCGUGCGGGAUGACGGCCUUCGGGUUGUAAACCGCUUUCGCCUGUGACGAAGCGUGAGUGACGGUAAUGGGUAAAGAAGCACCGGCUAACUACGUGCCAGCAGCCCCGGUGAUACGUAGGGUGCGAGCGUUGUCCGGAUUUAUUGGGCGUAAAGGGCUCGUAGGUGGUUGAUCGCGUCGGAAGUGUAAUCUUGGGGCUUAACCCUGAGCGUGCUUUCGAUACGGGUUGACUUGAGGAAGGUAGGGGAGAAUGGAAUUCCUGGUGGAGCGGUGGAAUGCGCAGAUAUCAGGAGGAACACCAGUGGCGAAGGCGGUUCUCUGGGCCUUUCCUGACGCUGAGGAGCGAAAGCGUGGGGAGCGAACAGGCUUAGAUACCCUGGUAGUCCACGCUGUAAACGGUGGGUACUAGGUGUGGGGUCCAUUCCACGGGUUCCGUGCCGUAGCUAACGCUUUAAGUACCCCGCCUGGGGAGUACGGCCGCAAGGCUGAAACUCAAAGGAAUUGACGGGGCCCCGCACAAGCGGCGGAGCAUGCGGAUUAAUUCGAUGCAACGCGUAGAACCUUACCUGGGUUUGACAUGGAUCGGGAGUGCUCAGAGAUGGGUGUGCCUCUUUUGGGGUCGGUUCACAGGUGGUGCAUGGCUGUCGUCAGCUCGUGUCGUGAGAUGUUGGGUUAAGUCCCGCAACGAGCGCAACCCUUGUUCACUGUUGCCAGCACGUUAUGGUGGGGACUCAGUGGAGACCGCCGGGGUCAACUCGGAGGAAGGUGGGGAUGACGUCAAGUCAUCAUGCCCCUUAUGUCCAGGGCUUCACGCAUGCUACAAUGGCUGGUACAGAGAGUGGCGAGCCUGUGAGGGUGAGCGAAUCUCGGAAAGCCGGUCUCAGUUCGGAUUGGGGUCUGCAACUCGACCUCAUGAAGUCGGAGUCGCUAGUAAUCGCAGAUCAGCAACGCUGCGGUGAAUACGUUCCCGGG